UUGAGAAAUAAACUACCCGUACCGCAAACCGACACAGGUAGUCGAGGCGAGUAGCCUCAGGUGAGCGAGCGAACUCUCGUUAAGGAACUCGGCAAAAUGACCCCGUAACUUCGGGAGAAGGGGUGCUGACCGCAAGGUCAGCCGCAGUGAAUAGGCCCAGACAACUGUUUAUCAAAAACACAGGUCUCUGCUAAAUCGUAAGAUGACGUAUAGGGGCUGACGCCUGCCCGGUGCUGGAAGGUUAAGAGGAUGAGUUAGCGUAAGCGAAGCCCAGAAUUGAAGCCCCAGUAAACGGCGGCCGUAACAAUAACGGUCCUAAGGUAGCGAAAUUCCUUGUCGGGUAAGUUCCGACCCGCACGAAAGGCGUAAUGAUUUGGGCACUGUCUCAACGAGAGACUCGGUGAAAUUUUAAUACCCGUGAAGAUGCGGGUUACCCGCGACAGGACGGAAAGACCCCAUGGAGCUUUACUGUAGCUUGAUAUUGAGUGUUUGUACCGCUUGUACAGGAUAGGUAGGAGCCGUAGAAGCCGGAACGCUAGUUUCGGUGGAGGCAUUGGUGGGAUACUACCCUUGCUGUGUGAACACUCUAACCCGCGCCACUAAGCGUGGCGGGAGACAGUGUCAGGUGGGCAGUUUGACUGGGGCGGUCGCCUCCUAAAAUGUAACGGAGGCGCCCAAAGGUUCCCUCAGAAUGGUUGGAAAUCAUUCGCAGAGUGUAAAGGUAUAAGGGAGCUUGACUGCGAGACUGACAAGUCGAGCAGGGGCGAAAGUCGGGCUUAGUGAUCCGGUGGUUCCGUAUGGAAGGGCCAUCGCUCAACGGAUAAAAGCUACCCUGGGGAUAACAGGCUUAUCUCCCCCAAGAGUCCACAUCGACGGGGAGGUUUGGCACCUCGAUGUCGGCUCAUCGCAUCCUGGGGCUGUAGUCGGUCCCAAGGGUUGGGCUGUUCGCCCAUUAAAGCGGUACGCGAGCUGGGUUCAGAACGUCGUGAGACAGUUCGGUCCCUAUCCGUCGCGGGCGCAGGAAAUUUGAGAGGAGCUGUCCUUAGUACGAGAGGACCGGGUUGGACGUUCCGCUGGUGUACCAGUUGUGCCGCCAGGCGCAUCGCUGGGUAGCUAUGAACGGAAGGGAUAAACGCUGAAAGCAUCUAAGUGUGAAGCCCCCCUCGAGAUGAGAUUUCCCAUUCCUUUAUGGAAGUAAGACCCCUGAGAGAUGAUCAGGUAGAUAAGCUGGAAGUGGAAGAGCAGCGAUGUUUGGAGCGGACCAGUACUAAUCGGUCGAGGACUUAAUC
RNAcentral lists this ribosomal RNA (1289 nucleotides) under metagenome. Its description in RNAcentral is "bacterial LSU rRNA". It matches the Rfam family "Bacterial large subunit ribosomal RNA", at positions 1626 to 2925 of the family's 2925-position model. The record is from RNAcentral.